This 490-nucleotide ribosomal RNA is filed under the name uncultured bacterium. RNAcentral's name for it is "partial 16S ribosomal RNA". It matches the Rfam family "Bacterial small subunit ribosomal RNA", at positions 30 to 507 of the family's 1533-position model. The record is from RNAcentral.
AUUGAACGCUGGCGGCAGGCCUAACACAUGCAAGUCGAACGGUAACACGAAGCAGCUUGCUGCUUCGCUGACGAGUGGCGGACGGGUGAGUAAUGUCUGGGAAGCUGCCUGAUGGAGGGGGAUAACUACUGGAAACGGUAGCUAAUACCGCAUAAUGUCUCAAGACCAAAGAGGGGGACCUUCGGGCCUCUUGCCAUCGGAUGUGCCCAGAUGGGAUUAGCUUGUUGGUGGGGUAACGGCUCACCAAGGCGACGAUCCCUAGCUGAUCUGAGAGGAUGACCAGCCACACUGGAACUGAGACACGGUCCAGACUCCUACGGGAGGCAGCAGUGGGGAAUAUUGCACAAGGGGCGAAAGCCUGAUGCAGCAAUGCCGCGUGAAUGAAGAAGGCCUUCGGGUUGUAAAGAACUUUCAGCGGGGAGGAAGGGAGUAAAGUUAAAACCUGUGCUCAUUGACGUUACCCGAAGAAGAAGCACCGGCUAACUACGUG